UACAGAGGUCUCAAGCGUUGUUCGGAUUCAUUGGGCGUAAAGGGUGUGUAGGUGGCGCCGUAAGUCAGGUGUGAAAUUUCGGAGCUCAACUCCGAAACUGCAUUUGAUACUGCGGUGCUUGAGGACUGGAGAGGAGACUGGAAUUUACGGUGUAGCAGUGAAAUGCGUAGAUAUCGUAAGGAAGACCAGUGGCGAAGGCGGGUCUCUGGACAGUUCCUGACACUGAGACACGAAAGGCCAGGGGAGCAAAACGGGG
This 256-nucleotide ribosomal RNA is filed under the name uncultured bacterium. RNAcentral describes it as "partial 16S ribosomal RNA". It matches the Rfam family "Bacterial small subunit ribosomal RNA", at positions 524 to 778 of the family's 1533-position model. The record is from RNAcentral.